AACAUUUGAGUAUUAUCUAACCAUAGGUCAAAAGAUUCAAAAUAUGGGGCAUUAGAGGAUAACUUAUCACUGAUGCAAAGUAUUGAAGAUAAUCAAUGAUCAUCUAACAAUAGAUUUGUAACAAUGAAAGUUAUAAAGCCCCAAGUCCAUCUAACAAUAGUUUGACAAAUGGAAUAUUGUAUCACUCAAUGAUUACAAGUUAAUGGUUGAUUAGUGAUUAAGUUAUGGAUUGAUUAAGUUAUGUACAAGUUAAACAAAUGAAACACAAGUGUUAGAAGGUUAGUAAAUUAUGGAAUCAAAAGAAGAAAGGGGAUUAGCAAGUUAGUAUACACAAACAUGGCUUCAUCUAUGUAUCAAAUGACUUAAGUUUGGUUGAAAUAGAGGUAACCUAUCAAUGCUUCAAAGUAUCAUGAAUGAUCUAUUGAUCAUUCAUUGAUAGGUUUGAAGCAUUGAACGUUUUAUCAACCCUAAAUAACCAAAGUCAUGACCUAAUAGAGUUCAUUAACUAUCAUCAUUCAAGACAUAAAAAUUCCACAAAAUAAGUCCAAAUAAAAUAAAAUAAGAGUAGAAUAAAAUAAAAGGGAGAAGAAUAAUGAGGGUGUGUAUUGAAAACUUUUUAAUUAGAACUAAAAUGGGUGGUGAAAAAAAUAAAACGAAAAUGAAAAUAAAUGGUUGGUAAAUAGAAAAAUAAAAUAAAAGAAAGAAAAUAACUAAAAACAAAGUGAGGGUGUUAGGGGUUGAACCCCUGGCCUUGGGGUCAUGGGGUCAACCCCCAUCCAUUUGGCCAAGCGCCUUGUGAUGACAAAGGAGCGCUUCAGAGAAUAAAAUAUUUAAACUUAAUAAAAAAUGAAACACGUGCUAAGCAGCCAAUCAGGACAAGACACGAAAUUUCUUUGAAUUCAAAAAAUGCAUGAAGCAAUGAACAUGAAGUCGUCUUCAACCUUCAACCACCAAAAUCUAAACUCUGAAACUCGUGUUUUUAGAGGUAAUCACUCAUGGAUUCAACCUCCCCACACUUCAUCGUUUUUAUCUUCACACUCAUGAGCCAUUGAUUGGCUAUGAGUGUGGAGAAUUUCUCAAGAUCACAGAAAUACAAUUUGACCUAAAAACAAAAUUAAAUGGUGAAUAUGAAGUAAUCAAGAUUUAGACUAUGGGGUUAAGCAUCAACAAGUGAUUUUGAGCAAGAGGGUAACUUGUUUGGGUGAAGGGGAUGAGUGGAACUACCUGGUCGAAAUCAGUUUCAGAGAUGAAAUCUGAUGGCUAUGGACAACUCAGGGAAGGAGGUUGCAAGGUUUGUUAGUGUUUCAGAAAGCUUUUGUGAUGUUGAGGUAAGGAUUCUGGGUGCUUGGUUUGGAUUAAAAUGGUUUAGAACUUAAAAACUGCAACUCUGUUUUCAAUGGAGGAAGGUGGUUUCGAGGCAGAGUGAUUUUGGCUUGAAAAACUUGCGAAGUUCAUGGAAUACCUUCCCCUAUUUACAUGAAAUGUGAUGGAAGUGUUUGGUGGAAGAAUGAAAAUGGUUUAUUCAGAAAAUGGUGAAGGCUUGAAGCAUGCUCAAAGUUGAAACUUAUUGGACAAGUGUGGUUGUGUUAUGACUUGGUCUUCCACUCCACUCAUUUUUUUUUCAACUAAG
This 1630-nucleotide long non-coding RNA is filed under the name Lathyrus oleraceus (garden pea). Its description in RNAcentral is "Pisum sativum (pea) long non-coding RNA (PSAT_LNC005424)". The record is from RNAcentral. Lineage: Eukaryota; Viridiplantae; Streptophyta; Magnoliopsida; Fabales; Fabaceae.